Molecule: unclassified non-coding RNA, 148 nt
Organism: Pongo abelii (Sumatran orangutan)
Lineage: Eukaryota; Metazoa; Chordata; Mammalia; Primates; Hominidae
Rfam family: Metazoan signal recognition particle RNA
About the family: The signal recognition particle (SRP) is a universally conserved ribonucleoprotein.
Source: Ensembl
GCCGGGCAUGGUGGCACGUGCCUGUAAUCCCAGCUACUCAGGAGGCUGAGGCGGGAGAAUCGCUUGAACCCAGGAGGCAGAGUUUGCAGUGAGCUGAGAUCGUGCCACUGCACUCCAGCCUGGGUGACAGAGCAAGACUCCGUCUCAA